This 114-nucleotide signal recognition particle RNA is filed under the name Neisseria gonorrhoeae. RNAcentral's name for it is "SRP 4.5S RNA". The stretch from base 9 to 105 matches the Rfam family "Bacterial small signal recognition particle RNA". From Rfam's summary of the family: The signal recognition particle (SRP) is a universally conserved ribonucleoprotein involved in the co-translational targeting of proteins to membranes. Archaeal SRP consists of a 7S RNA and homologues of the eukaryotic SRP19 and SRP54 proteins. The record is from RNAcentral. Lineage: Bacteria; Pseudomonadati; Pseudomonadota; Betaproteobacteria; Neisseriales; Neisseriaceae.
UUCUCCGUUGCGGGUCUCCCCGCAUGGCAAAUCGGAACACCGGGUCAGGGGCGGAAGCCAGCAGCCCACUCCGAUGCGCCAGUGCCGGGGGUUUGGUCCGCCGCCCUAUUUGAA